This is a non-coding RNA of Podarcis muralis (Common wall lizard), 261 nucleotides long. Lineage: Eukaryota; Metazoa; Chordata; Lepidosauria; Squamata; Lacertidae. The record is from RefSeq and is a predicted model, not a curated record.
UCCGGCCUGAGAAGGGAGGUCCCUGUCAAGAGAAUGGCCAAGAUCUCCUCAGCAACAAAUGGUCCAAGGCCAUGGAGACUAUUACUGCACGCUACUCCCUCCCAGAUCCUGACACGCUGUCAUCUUGGGACCAACAUAAAAUCCGGGCCUGGAUUCUUACAAGAGACGAGGCCAUGGACCGGGCACAGUCCACCUCAGCUCGCCUCUCCACGUGGCUCCCUAAAGUGAAAGUGGAUGUCUUCCAAGGUCUCCCCUGCUCCC